GUGGGGAAUUUUGGACAAUGGGCGCAAGCCUGAUCCAGCCAUUCCGCGUGCAGGAUGAAGGCCUUCGGGUUGUAAACUGCUUUUGUACGGAACGAAAAGCCUCUGGUUAAUACCCGGGGGUCAUGACGGUACCGUAAGAAUAAGCACCGGCUAACUACGUGCCAGCAGCCGCGGUAAUACGUAGGGUGCGAGCGUGAAUCGGAAUUACUGGGCGUAAAGCGUGCGCAGGCGGUGAUGUAAGACAGUUGUGAAAUCCCCGGGCUCAACCUGGGGACUGCAUCUGUGACUGCAUUGCUGGAGUGCGGCAGAGGGGGAUGGAAUUCCGCGUGUAGCAGUGAAAAGCGUAGAUAUGCGGAGGAACACCGAUGGCGAAGGCAAUCCCCUGGGCCUGCACUGACGCUCAUGCACGAAAGCGUGGGGAGCAAACAGGAUUAGAUACCCUGGUAGUCC
Molecule: ribosomal RNA, 450 nt
Filed under: uncultured bacterium
Lineage: Bacteria
Description: partial 16S ribosomal RNA
Rfam family: Bacterial small subunit ribosomal RNA
Source: RNAcentral